Molecule: ribosomal RNA, 393 nt
Filed under: uncultured bacterium
Lineage: Bacteria
Description: partial 16S ribosomal RNA
Rfam family: Bacterial small subunit ribosomal RNA
Source: RNAcentral
AUACGGAGGACGCGAGCGUUAUCCGGAUUUAUUGGGUUUAAAGGGAGCGUAGGUGUGAUAUUAAGUCAGCUGUGAAAGUUUGGGGCUCAACCUUAAAAUUGCAGUUGAUACUGGUUUCCUUGAGUGCGGUACAGGUGGGCGGAAUUCGUGGUGUAGCGGUGAAAUGCUUAGGUAUCACGAAGAACUCCGAUCGCGAAGGCAGCUCACCGGGCCGGAACUGACACUGAUGCUCGAAAGUGCGGGUAUCAAACAGGAUUAGAUACCCUGGUAGUCCGCACAGUAAACGAUGAAUACUCGCUGUUUGCGAUACACUGUAAGCGGCCAAGCGAAAGCGUUAAGUAUUCCACCUGGGGAGUACGCCGGCAACGGUGAAACUCAAAUGAAUUGACGGGG